Arachis ipaensis is the source of this 442-nucleotide long non-coding RNA. RefSeq lists it as uncharacterized. Lineage: Eukaryota; Viridiplantae; Streptophyta; Magnoliopsida; Fabales; Fabaceae. The record is from RefSeq and is a predicted model, not a curated record.
GAGCUUGAAAUUAUGAAUACCGGAACUUGGAGGAAGCGGAUUAGUUGAGUUUUGAGGGGCUGCCUUGGUUUUGAAUAAAUAGCUUUGGUCGUUACGUGGAAAUCGGCCAAGAUGCAAGUCGGGAGCCAUCUCGUUAGGCGUCUGGACUCUUAAAGCGGAGGGGUUACUGGAUAGUGUUGUUGUAUAGUUUUGUUGUAUAGUGAUGUAUAUAUAUGUACUUAGCUUUCUCUCCGCAUAGCUUGUCCUUUUUUAUCCUCUUAGAGGUUUAUGGAGAGGCAAGAUUGUGUGUAUGUACUUUUGGGUUUUAGAUAUGUAUGUAUAUAUGUGUAAAUAUUCUCCAGCCAGUCUUGACUUCGCAGGCUGAGUUAGGAGCUUGUUAUUUUGUAUCUUUGGCACUCUAUUCCUACUUCUGUUAUCUUAUGUUUGAUAGUUACGGUUUUCU